UAUACACUAUGCAUAUAAAUAUAGAUAUUUUGCAAAGCGAUAGUUUGGUGGAUGUAAUAGUGCAAAAUGUAUUUAAAUCUUAUCAAGUAAAAAGAAACAUACGAGUAUUUAUAAUAUGUAAUGUACAGAAAAAUGUACGUUAUCAGAACGGAAAAACUGUAAUUUAAGUACAGACAUUUUUGAAGAAACUGAAACACUUGAUACAGAAAGAUAGGUUAUGUUUUUGCACGUUAAAACGCAUUAUGAUUUAUGCUUCAACAAUUUUCUAACGAUAUUCUAAUCUUUUCCAUUACUCUAUUAAUAAAAACAAACAGCAUGAUUUCUGAUGAAUAUAAACAACACAAUACAUGGAAUAACAUAAAAAUAAAUAAUGAUAUUUACAUGGUUUCUGUUACACAAAAAGAUGACAUAAUUAAAGUUUUCCUAACUAAUCUUAUUGAAAUAUGGAUUGAUACAUUGACAAAAGAAAUUAUUUUGGAUAGAUGUCGGAAGUUAAAUCGACUUUUAAAUAUUGAAGCUCUUGAUUAUAAUGACAUUAUAUUAAAUAUUUUGAACGAUAUGUCAAAAUAUAUUAUCAAUGCAACUGUGGAACAUAUCGAGUUGCAAGUUCAAGUAGAACGUUGUUUAAUGAAAUUUGAACUAAAUUUAACAAAAGGAACAUCAGAAGAUUUUUGGGAUUUUGUAACUAAACCUCUAUGUAUAUCAUCGAUGGAAAUUAUUCAUCAGCACAAAUUUCUUUUAGAUUUAAUGAGAAGGAAAGAUGAAGAAAUUGCUGAAUAUAAAGCAGAAGGUGCAAAAUUAAUAAGAAAGAAUAUUGAAACAAAACCUUUUAAAGAGGAACAGUUCGAAAUAACUAUUUCUAAUCCAAGUAUUAUUGACUGCACAAAUGCAUUCCAAACCAUGGUGAAUUUUUAUAAUAAACUUAAUUUAUACAAACGUAGUACAAUUCCUAGAGAAUCUACAAGCAGUAGCAGCAUUAAUGAUGCUGAUGACAUGCACAAAAUGGAGCAGAAUAUUAUUAGUUCUGUUCAGAAUGACGAUAACAGUAUGUAUAAACAUGAGGAUACUUUUAUACACAAGAGCACAGAAUGUAUACAUUCUGAAAAUAAACAGCAAGACAAAGAUACAACUAACAAGAAAAUAAUUAAGAAUAAAACAGGAACCACAAAUAUGGUACAUAGGCCUAAAAAGUUAAAAAAAGGUUUGAAUGAUUUUAUAUUGUGAAGUAUAACUAUCUAAAAUAUAAGAAAAUAUUUUAAAUACAUAUAAUAUUCAGAGGAAAGGCUAAUUAAUAAGGAUUGUUAUUUAGAAUACUUUUCCCCUCCUACAUUUAUUAGCUUAAACAAUAAUUAAAACAAAAUUAGAAAAGAUUAAUUAUAGUAAAAAUCUUGAUAUAUAUAUGUGUGUAUAAUAAAUAUAUACAAAAUGGAGUACCUAUAAUAGAUUAAUUUGUUCAAAACCAACGACGUACCAUGUACGUCCUAAAAUUCUGGGCUAUUUGCACAAUACGACCAGUGAUGCAUCAUAUACACUUUAUAAUGAAAUUAAUGUUAUCAUUAAGUAUUUAAAACGCUAUUAAAGAGAGGUAACACCAUGUCGAAAGGACAACCAGGAACAUAGAGAUUUAUAGACACAAUGAAAAUGCCCUUCCACUAAAAGAUAAAUGAAAGAAGUAAGAAAUCAUCAUAGGAAAUAAUGAUAAUGAUGAUGAUGAUAAUAUGCAAGACAGCAAUGUAAAUUACAAUAAAAUUGAUAGUGAAAGUAGCAGAAUGACAUUAGGACAAGAUAAUGGAGAACCUGAACAUCUACCUGAAAUGUUACCCAGA
RNA transcript from Bombus impatiens (common eastern bumble bee), 1826 nucleotides. It is a transcript of the gene named non-homologous end-joining factor 1, with no coding region annotated. The transcript has 5 exons. Lineage: Eukaryota; Metazoa; Arthropoda; Insecta; Hymenoptera; Apidae. The record is from RefSeq and is a predicted model, not a curated record.